CAGCGGUGAAAUUUUCCGGCUUAACCGGGAGACUGCCGUUGAUACUGUAUAGCUUGAAUACGGUUGCUGUGAGUGGAAUGUGUGGUGUAGCGGUGAAAUGCAUAGAUAUCACACAGAAUAUCGAUUGCGAAGGCAGCUCACAAAGCCGUUAUUGACGCUGAUGCACGAAAGUGUGGGGAUCAAACAGGAUUAGAUACCCUGGUAGUCCACACUGUAAACGAUGAUAACUAGCUGUCGGCGAUACACCGUCGGUGGCCAAGCGAAAGCGAUAAGUUAUCCACCUGGGGAGUACGACCGCAAGGUUGAAACUCAAAGGAAUUGACGGGGGCCCGCACAAGCGGAGGAACAUGUGGUUUAAUUCGAUGAUACGCGAGGAACCUUACCCGGGCUCGAACGGUGCAGUAAUAUGGUAGAGAUAUCAUAGCUAGCAAUAGGCUGUAUCGAGGUGCUGCAUGGUUGUCGUCAGCUCGUGCCGUGAGGUGUCGGCUUAAGUGCCAUAACGAGCGCAACCCUUGUCGUUAGUUACCAUCAAGUAAAGUUGGGGACUCUAGCGAGACUGCCACCGUAAGGUGUGAGGAAGGGGGGGAUGACGUCAAAUCAGCACGGCCCUUACGUCCGGGGCGACACACGUGUUACAAUGGUAGGUACAGAGGGCCGCUAUCCAGUGAUGGAGUGCCAAUCUCAAAAACCUAUCUCAGUUCGGAUCGGAGUCUGCAACUCGACUCCGUGAAGUUGGAUUCGCUAGUAAUCGCGCAUCAGCCAUGGCGCGGUGAAUACGUUCCCGGGCCUUGUACACACCGCCCGUCAAGCCAUGGAAGCCGGGGGUGCCUGAAGUUCGUGACCGCAAGGAGCGACCUAGGGCAAAACUGGUAACUGGGGCUAAGUCGUAACAAGGUAACC
RNAcentral lists this ribosomal RNA (900 nucleotides) under uncultured Bacteroidota bacterium. Its description in RNAcentral is "bacterial SSU rRNA". It matches the Rfam family "Bacterial small subunit ribosomal RNA", at positions 589 to 1501 of the family's 1533-position model. The record is from RNAcentral. Lineage: Bacteria; Pseudomonadati; Bacteroidota.